ACUAAGUCUGCUACUUCCAUAUCAGCUACAUGGGAUUUGUCCAGCUACAUUAAAAUGCAGUACACACAGGUGGAGGAGAGGAGAACACACACAGGACACACACUGACCAGCAGCUUCCAGCAGACGCUGCAGUCUGAGACAGGAGGGGUUGAGGGGGUCUGGGGGAGAUCAGUACAAGGACCUGAAACAAGUGUGAAAGUGGAACUUAAGAGCCUAAUAUUUGUUGAAAAAGUAAUCUUAUUAAAUAUUAUACAUCCAUAUUUAACCAUACACAUUAUUUUGCUACUUGUCAAAGCAUUUGUAGGCCAGGAUGAGUGAUCUUACCAAGGAGAGAGAGUCGAGUGGUUCUUUUCCCGUAAUGAUAAAUAACUUCAGAGUGUAAAACUCCCUUUUCGUCUUUGGUGAUGUUUUUCUCAUACACAGCGCAGUAGUACAGACCCACAUCUGAAUCAGAGACGUUCUUCACCAACAGAUCAUGAGUUUUGCUGGAGGGAUUCCACACAGCAGAGUAACGUGGAUCAGCACCACGUAUCAAAUCUAGAGUUGAUAUCAUGAGAGGAGGUCGAUGCUCACAUGAGGAGUUUCUAAACCAAACUAUAUUAAAUCCACUCUUCCAAACACAGUCGCUGUAGAGAGUCACGUCGUCUCCUUGUCUGACCCUCAUCUCCACUUCUGCUCCAGAGAUCCUGGAGAACAAAGCACCUACAACACACCAGUGAAAGAACAAUGAGCUCUCAUAACUUUAC
Molecule: long non-coding RNA, 746 nt
Organism: Pygocentrus nattereri (red-bellied piranha)
Lineage: Eukaryota; Metazoa; Chordata; Actinopteri; Characiformes; Serrasalmidae
Source: Ensembl